GUCAAUUCAUUUGAGUUUUAGCCUUGCGGCCGUACUCCCCAGGCGGGGCGCUUAAUGCGUUAGCUGCGGCACGGAAGGAGUCGAUGACCUCCCACACCUAGCGCCCAUCGUUUACGGCGUGGACUACCAGGGUAUCUAAUCCUGUUUGCUCCCCACGCUUUCGCUCCUCAGCGUCAGUACUGGCCCAGGAUCCCGCCUUCGCCACCGGUGUUCCUCCUGAUAUCUGCGCAUUCCACCGCUACACCAGGAAUUCCAGAUCCCCCUACCAGACUCUAGCCGCCCAGUAUCGAAUGCAGGCUCGAGGUUAAGCCUCGAGGUUUCACAUUCGACUUGAGUGGCCGCCUACGAGCUCUUUACGCCCAAUGAAUCCGGACAACGCUCGGUCCCUACGUAUUACCGC
This 400-nucleotide unclassified non-coding RNA is filed under the name uncultured Rubrobacterales bacterium. RNAcentral's name for it is "contains 16S-23S intergenic spacer region". The record is from RNAcentral. Lineage: Bacteria; Bacillati; Actinomycetota; Rubrobacteria; Rubrobacterales.